Molecule: ribosomal RNA, 705 nt
Filed under: Lichtheimia ramosa
Lineage: Eukaryota; Fungi; Mucoromycota; Mucoromycetes; Mucorales; Lichtheimiaceae
Description: eukaryotic LSU rRNA
Rfam family: Eukaryotic large subunit ribosomal RNA
Source: RNAcentral
UUGCAUAUCAAUAAGCGGAGGAAAAGAAAAUAACCAUGAUUCCCCUAGUAACGGCGAGUGAAGAGGGAAAAGCUCAAAGUUGGAACCUGGCUGCCCUAGGCAGUCCGGAUUGUAAACUAAAGAGCGUGAUUCCAGGCAAGCCGGUUGAUCAAGUCCUUUGGAAUGAGGCGCCACUGAGGGUGAGAGCCCCGUAAGUCGACUGAGCAUUUGUCUUUUGUGUUUCGCGUUCAAAGAGUCAGGUUGUUUGGGAAUGCAGCCUAAAGCUGGUGGUAAAUCCCACCUAAAGCUAAAUACAGGCGAGAGACCGAUAGCGAACAAGUACCGUGAGGGAAAGAUGAAAAGAACUUUGAAAAGAGAGUUAAACAGUAUGUGAAAUUGCCAAGAGGGAAGCAUUUGGAGUUAGAUUGACUAGGAGUUAAUCAGCUUGGUCUUUGGACUGGGUGUACUUGACUUCUAUUGGUCUGCCAAUAGCAGUUAGUCCUAGUGGAAAAAACCAGAGGGAAGGUAGUCCUUCGGGAUGUUUAUAGACCUUUGGAAAAUACACUGGGAUUGACUGAGGAAUGCAGUAGAUGCCACUAAGGCUUCGUCUAGUGGGUGCUAGGCAAAGGUACUUGGUAUUUUCAGCUUGCUGAUGUGCUAGGUUACUCGAGUCUAGUCGCCUACUAGAACUGUAAUCUACUUUUGGUUAUUGGCUUAAUGACUCUA